RNAcentral lists this ribosomal RNA (458 nucleotides) under uncultured bacterium. RNAcentral's name for it is "bacterial SSU rRNA". It matches the Rfam family "Bacterial small subunit ribosomal RNA", at positions 339 to 794 of the family's 1533-position model. The record is from RNAcentral.
UUACGGGAGGCAGCAGUGAGGAAUAUUGGUCAAUGGGCGUAAGCCUGAACCAGCCAUCCCGCGUGAAGGAAGAAGGCGCUAUGCGUCGUAAACUUCUUUUCCGGAGGAAUAAAAUUUUGUACGAGUACAGAACUGAAGGUACUCCGGGAAUAAGCAUCGGCUAACUCCGUGCCAGCAGCCGCGGUAAUACGGAGGAUGCAAGCGUUAUCCGGAUUUAUUGGGUUUAAAGGGUGCGUAGGCGGAUUAAUAAGUCAGUGGUGAAAACCUUCAGCUUAACUGGAGAACUGCCAUUGAUACUGUUAGUCUUGAGUACGGUCAAGGUAGGCGGAAUGUGUAAUGUAGCGGUGAAAUGCUUAGAUAUUACACAGAACACCGAUUGCGAAGGCAGCUUACUGGGCCAUUACUGACGCUGAUGCACGAAAGCGUGGGGAGCGAACAGGAUUAGAUACCCUGGUAGG